CAUCCCUUCAGAUUUGGGCAAUCUAGCCAGAGUUUCUCUAAGGAAGGGAAGAACAAUGCAUUGUCGCAAUUAAUCGCACUCUCUAUGUACUCCAGAUCAGUUAAAUUAUAAAUCCCCAAAUUUUUAAGUGAAGGGAACUGAUCCAACGGGGGAAAAUGCUGGCAUUUUUUGCAGUUAUCAAUUCGAAGAUUCACCAAAUUAGUGAGGGAAGAAAUCCAGCUUGGAAACAUGAGUCUUCCACACCCAUACACAAAAAAUUCUCUUAGAUUAAGGUGUGGCCGC
This 282-nucleotide unclassified non-coding RNA is filed under the name Hevea brasiliensis (rubber tree). The record is from RNAcentral. Lineage: Eukaryota; Viridiplantae; Streptophyta; Magnoliopsida; Malpighiales; Euphorbiaceae.